RNAcentral lists this ribosomal RNA (495 nucleotides) under uncultured bacterium. RNAcentral describes it as "partial 16S ribosomal RNA". It matches the Rfam family "Bacterial small subunit ribosomal RNA", at positions 28 to 507 of the family's 1533-position model. The record is from RNAcentral.
GACGAACGCUGGCGGCGUGCCUAAUACAUGCAAGUAGAACGCUGAAGGAGGAGCUUGCUUCUCUGGAUGAGUUGCGAACGGGUGAGUAACGCGUAGGUAACCUGCCUGGUAGCGGGGGAUAACUAUUGGAAACGAUAGCUAAUACCGCAUAAUAGUAGAUGUUGCAUGACAUUUGCUUAAAAGGUGCAAUUGCAUCACUACCAGAUGGACCUGCGUUGUAUUAGCUAGUUGGUGGGGUAACGGCUCACCAAGGCGACGAUACAUAGCCGACCUGAGAGGGGGAUCGGCCACACUGAGACUGAGACACGGCCCAGACUCCUACGGGAGGCAGCAGUAGGGAAUCUUCGGCAAUGGACGGAAGUCUGACCGAGCAACGCCGCGUGAGUGAAGAAGGUUUUCGGAUCGUAAAGCUCUGUUGUAAGAGAAGAACGAGUGUGAGAGUGGAAAGUUCACACUGUGACGGUAUCUUACCAGAAAGAGACGGCUAACUACGUG